GCUACACAUGCAAGUCGAACGGUAACANGAACACUUGCUGCUUCGCUGACGAGUGGCGGACGGGUGAGUAAUGUCUGGGAAACUGCCUGAUGGAGGGGGAUAACUACUGGAAACGGUAGCUAAUACCGCAUAACGUCGCAAGACCAAAGAGGGGGACCUUCGGGCCUCUUGCCAUCGGAUGUGCCCAGAUGGGAUUAGCUAGUAGGUGGGGUAACGGCUCACCUAGGCGACGAUCCCUAGCUGGUCUGAGAGGAUGACCAGCCACACUGGAACUGAGACACGGUCCAGACUCCUACGGGAGGCAGCAGUGGGGAAUAUUGCACAAUGGGCGCAAGCCUGAUGCAGCCAUGCCGCGUGUAUGAAGAAGGCCUUCGGGUUGUAAAGUACUUUCAGCGGGGAGGAAGGCGAUAAGGUUAAUAACCUUGUCGAUUGACGUUACCCGCAGAAGAAGCACCGGCUAACUCCGUGCCAGCAGCCGCGGUAAUACGGGGGGUGCAAGCGUUAAUCGGAAUUACUGGGCGUGAAGCGCACGCAGGCGGUCUGUCAAGUCGGAUGUGAAAUCCCCGGGCUCAACCUGGGAACUGCAUUCGAAACUGGCAGGCUAGAGUCUUGUAGAGGGGGGUAGAAUUCCAGGUGUAGCGGUGAAAUGCGUAGAGAUCUGGAGGAAUACCGGUGGCGAAGGCGGCCCCCUGGACAAAGACUGACGCUCAGGUGCGAAAGCGUGGGGAGCAAACAGGAUUAGAUACCCUGGUAGUCCACGCCGUAAACGAUGUCGACUUGGGAGGUUGUGCCCCUUGAGGCGUUGGCUUCCCGGAGCUAACGGC
RNAcentral lists this ribosomal RNA (824 nucleotides) under uncultured bacterium. Its description in RNAcentral is "bacterial SSU rRNA". It matches the Rfam family "Bacterial small subunit ribosomal RNA", at positions 48 to 858 of the family's 1533-position model. The record is from RNAcentral.